Hypanus sabinus (Atlantic stingray) is the source of this 2904-nucleotide long non-coding RNA. RefSeq lists it as uncharacterized. The transcript has 3 exons. NCBI's taxonomy places the organism in Eukaryota, Metazoa, Chordata, Chondrichthyes, Myliobatiformes, Dasyatidae. The record is from RefSeq and is a predicted model, not a curated record.
GGGAAGAGAUCCCACAGGAGGAAGGGGGAUGGGAGAGAGAGAUACCACCAGAGGAAGGGGGAUGGGGAUGAGAGAUCCCACAGGGUGAAAGUGGAUGGGGGAGAGAAAUCCCACAGAAGGAAGGGGAAUGGGGAAGAGAGAUCACAUAGGAUGAUGGGGCAUGGGGAAGAGAGAUGAGACAGGAGGAAGUGGGUGGGGAAGUGAGAUCAAACAGGAGGUUGGGGGAUGAGUAGGAGAGAUCCCAUUGGAGGAAAGGGGAUGCUGAGGAGAGAUCCAACAGUUGGAAGGAUGGGGGAGUGGGAACAGAGAGCCCAGAGGAUGAAAGGGGGAUGGGAAAGCGAGAUCUCACAGGAGGAUUGCUACCUGUGCCACGUGCUAGUGAGGCUAGAAAUAGGAAGAUAAUGCAGCUAAAUACAUGGCUGAGGGGAUGAUGCAUGAGGGAGGGGUUCACGUUUCUGGACAAUUGGGCUUUCUUCCAGGGGAGGUGGGACCAGUUCGAAUUGGACAGUUUGCACCUGAACUGGAGGGGAACUGGAGGACUAACAUCCUGGCCGGUAGGUUAGCAAGUUCUGCUCCGGGGGUUUUAAACAAGGUUGCAGGGGGAGGGGAACCAGAGUGUUAGAGCAGAUAGUGAGGUGGUGGAGGAUAAGGGUCAUGCGAGGACUGCUUCUAUAGACAGAUAUCAAUGGUUUGUAUGUGAUAGAAAUGUUCUCAGGUGCAUCUAUUUCAAUGCAAGGAGUAUUGCAGGUAAGGCAGAUGAGUUUAGAUCGUGGAUUGGCACGAUGAUAUCGACAUUAUUGCUAUUAGUAAGACUUGGUUUGCAGGAGGGUCAGGACUGGCAGCUUCAUGUUCCGGGUUUCCAUUGUUUCAGAUGUGAUAGAGGGGAGGGAUGAAAGGGGGCGGAGUGGCAUUACCAGUCAGGGGAAUAUCACAGCUGUGCGUAGACGGGACAGCCCGGAGGGUUCAUCUACAGAGGCCAUAUGGGUGGAGCUGAGGAACGGGGAAGAUGUGACCACACUAAUAGGGUUGUAUUAUAGACCGCCCAGUAGUCAGAGAGAAUUCGAGGAGCAAAUCUGUAGAGAGGUAGCACACCAAUGUAAGAAACAGAAAGUCAUAAUCGUAGGGGAUUUUAACUUCCCACAUAUUCACGGGGACUCCCAUUCUGGGAAAGGGUUAGAUGGCGUGGAGUUUGUCAAAUGUGUCAGGAAAGUUUUCUAAAUCAAUACAUUGAGGUAUCAACGAGAGAGGGUGCAGUACCUGAUCUCCUAUUAAGUAACCAGACAGGUCAGGUGACAGAAGUAUGUGUCGGUGAACAUUUUGGGUCCAGUGACCAUAAUGUCAUUAGUUUCAAGAUAAUGAUGGAUGAGGAUAGGACUGGUCCGCCAGUUAAGGUUCUGAAUUGGAGAAGGGCCAAUUUUGUGGAAAUGAGAGAAGAUCCGGGAAGAGUGGAUUGGGAUAAGUUGUUUUCUGGCAAGGAUGUGUUCAGUAAGUGGAACGCCUUCAAGGGUGAAAUUUUGAGAGUGCAGAGUUUGCAUGUUCCUGCCAGGAUUAAAGGCAAAGUUAACAGGCAGAGGGAACCUUGGUUUUCAAGGGAUAUUGGCGAUCUGCUUAAGUAGGUGUUUAGCAGCUAUAGGAAACAAGGAACAAAUGAGGUACUUGAAGAGUAUAGAAAAUGUAAGCAAAUACUAAAGAAGGAAAUCAGGAAGGCAAAAAGAAGACAUGAGGUUGCUUUGGCGGAUAAUGUGAAGGUAAACCCGAAGGGUUUCUACAAGUAUAUUAAGAGUAAAAGGAUAGUAAAGGACAAAAUUGGUCCCCUAGAAGUUCAGAGUGGUCGUCUCUGUGUGGAGCCUCACGAGAUGGGGGAGAUCUUAAACAGUUUUUUUGCGUCAGUGUUUACUCAGGAAACUGGCAUAGCGGAUAUGGAAUUAAGGGAAACAAACAGUAGUGUCAUGGAACAUAUAGAGUUUAAAGAGGAGGAGCUGCUUGCUGCCUUACAGUGAAUAAAGGUAGAUUAAUCCCCCGGGCCUGACGUGAUAUUCCCUCGGACCUUGAGAGAGACUUGUGUAGAAAUUGCAGGGGCCCUGGCAGAAAUAUUUAAAAUGUCCUCAGCCAGGGGUGUGGUGCCGGAGGAUUGGAGGGUAGCUCAUGUUGUUCUGUUGUUUGAAAAAGGCUCCAAAAGUACACCAGGUCAUUACAGGCCAGUGAGCCUGACAUCAGUAGUAGGUAAAUUAUUGGAAGGUGUUCUGAGAGAUCGGAUAUACAAGGAUUUGGACAGCCAAGGGCUGAUAAAAGAUAGUCAGCAUGGCUUUGUGUGUGGUAGACCAUGUUUAAUGAAUCCUGUAGUGUUUUUCGAGGAUGUUACCAAGAAUACAUAUGAAGGAAAGGCUGUGGAUGAUGUCUACAUUGACUUUUGUAAGGCCGUUGACAAAGUUCCACAUAAAAGGUUAGUUCUAAAGGUCCAGACACAAGGUAUCCAUGGAGAGGUUGUAAACUGGAUUUGAAUUGACUGUGUGGGAGAAGACAGAGAGUGGUAGUGGAUGAUUGCUUCUCAGACUGGAGGCCUGUGACUAGUGGUGUGUCUCAGGGAUCUGUGCUGGGACCAUUGUUGUUUGUUGUCUGUAUCAAUUAUCUAGAUGAUAAUGAGAUAAAUUGUAUCAACAGGUUUGCGGAUGACACUAAGAUGUAGGCAUUGUGGACAGCGAGGAAGGCUUUCAAAGCUUGCAGAGGGAUCUGAACCAACUGGAAGAAUGGGCCAGAAAAUGGCAGAUGGAAUUUAAUGCAGACAAGUGUGAGGUGUUCCAUUUUGGAAGGACAAAUCAAGACAGGGAGCAACCAUACUCCAAGCAUCUGACCACACAACACCCACUGGGACAGCCUGCUGGUCCAAGAAAUGUAAUGUCUCAA